UACGUAGGGUGCGAGCGUUAAUCGGAAUUACUGGGCGUAAAGCGCGUUCAGGCGGUUUGGCAAGUCGGGCAUGAAAUCUCUCGGCUCAACCGGGAGAGGUUGUCCGAUACUGCUGGACUUGAGGGCAGUAGAGGGUGGUGGAAUUCCGGGUGUAGUGGUGAAAUGCGUAGAUAUCCGGAGGAACACCAGUGGCGAAAGCGGCCACCUGGACUGUACCUGACGCUCAAACGCGAAAGCUAGGGGAGCGAACGGG
RNAcentral lists this ribosomal RNA (253 nucleotides) under uncultured bacterium. Its description in RNAcentral is "partial 16S ribosomal RNA". It matches the Rfam family "Bacterial small subunit ribosomal RNA", at positions 524 to 776 of the family's 1533-position model. The record is from RNAcentral.